GAUGAACGCUAGCUACAGGCUUAACACAUGCAAGUCGAGGGGAAACGACAGAGGAAGCUUGCUUCCUUUGGGCGUCGACCGGCGCACGGGUGAGUAACGCGUAUCCAACCUUCCCGCAAGUAAGGGAUAACCCGUAGAAAUGCGGCCUAAUACCUUAUGUUUUCCUUAGAGGGCAUCUGAUGAGGAACAAAGAUUCGUCGCUUGCGGAUGGGGAUGCGUCUGAUUAGUUAGUCGGCGGGGUAACGGCCCACCGAGACGACGAUCAGUAGGGGUUCUGAGAGGAAAGUCCCCCACAUUGGAACUGAGACACGGUCCAAACUCCUACGGGAGGCAGCAGUGAGGAAUAUUGGUCAAUGGGCGCAGGCCUGAACCAGCCAAGUCGCGUGAGGGAAGACGGUCCUACGGAUUGUAAAACCUCUUUUUGUCGGGGGAGUAACGUGCGGGACGCGUCCCGUAUUGAGAGUACCCGAAGAAAAAGCAAUCGGCUAACUCCGUG
RNAcentral lists this ribosomal RNA (496 nucleotides) under uncultured bacterium. Its description in RNAcentral is "bacterial SSU rRNA". It matches the Rfam family "Bacterial small subunit ribosomal RNA", at positions 28 to 507 of the family's 1533-position model. The record is from RNAcentral.